RNAcentral lists this ribosomal RNA (421 nucleotides) under uncultured bacterium. RNAcentral describes it as "partial 16S ribosomal RNA". It matches the Rfam family "Bacterial small subunit ribosomal RNA", at positions 360 to 774 of the family's 1533-position model. The record is from RNAcentral.
AAUAUUGGACAAUGGGGCAACCGUGAUCCAGCCAUGCCCCGUGUGUUAAGAAGGUCUUGGGAUUUUAAAGCACUUUAAGGUGGGGGGACGGGCUUUAGGUUAAUUCCUUGAAUUUUUGACGGUUCCGAUCGAAUAACCACCGGCUAAUUCUGUUCCUGCAGCCGCGGUAAUACAGAGGGGUCAAGCGUUAAACGGAAUUACUGGGCGUAAAGCGCGCGUAGGUGGUUCAGUAAGAUGGGUGUGAAAUCCCCGGGCUUAACCUGGGAACUGCCUUCAUAACUGCUGAGCUAGAGUACGGUAGAGGGUAGUGGAAUUUCCUGUGUAGCGGUGAAAUGCGUAGAUAUAGGAAGGAAAACCAGUGGCGAAGGCGACUACCUGGACUGAUACUGACACUGAGGUGCGAAAGCGUGGGGAGCAAACA